Molecule: ribosomal RNA, 497 nt
Filed under: uncultured bacterium
Lineage: Bacteria
Description: partial 16S ribosomal RNA
Rfam family: Bacterial small subunit ribosomal RNA
Source: RNAcentral
GAUGAACGCUGGCGGCGUGCCUAAUACAUGCAAGUCGAGCGAACAGACGAGGACCUUGCUCCUCUGACGUUAGCGGCGGACGGGUGAGUAACACGUGGAUAACCUACCUAUAAGACUGGGAUAACUUCGGGAAACCGGAGCUAAUACCGGAUAAUAUAUUGAACCGCAUGGUUCAAUAGUGAAAGACGGUUUUGCUGUCACUUAUAGAUGGAUCCGCGCCGCAUUAGCUAGUUGGUAAGGUAACGGCUUACCAAGGCAACGAUGCGUAGCCGACCUGAGAGGGUGAUCGGCCACACUGGAACUGAGACACGGUCCAGACUCCUACGGGAGGCAGCAGUAGGGAAUCUUCCGCAAUGGGCGAAAGCUUGACGGAGCAACGCCGCGUGAGUGAUGAAGGUCUUCGGAUCGUAAAACUCUGUUAUUAGGGAAGAACAAAUGUGUAAGUAACUAUGCACGUCUUGACGGUACCUAAUCAGAAGGCCACGGCUAACUACGUG